UAAACCCGAAAAAGAAGCAACUAGAGAAGAUAACACCGGGUCUCUACACUGAUGAAAAUGGCGUAGCCACAUACAAAGGCAUACCUUUCAUGACCUCAGCUGGACCUUGCACUUCCAGCAUCCCCAAAGCAACCAUCAAGUAGUGAACUUUAUACUCCUUUCUCUUCUCUUGCCUUUUUCUUUGAUAUCACAAACUCAGUUGGAAAAAAAGAAGAUAUGUUUUGUCACAAUUCGAAUUAAUCUCUAACUUUGUUCUCAUUAACCUGUUUUGACUCUCUUUUUCCUUAUGAGCUUUCUGCUACUGGAUUUAGAUUUUACUUUCUCCUUUCAA
Non-coding RNA from Camelina sativa (false flax), 331 nucleotides. The record is from RefSeq and is a predicted model, not a curated record. NCBI's taxonomy places the organism in Eukaryota, Viridiplantae, Streptophyta, Magnoliopsida, Brassicales, Brassicaceae.